Limanda limanda (common dab) is the source of this 435-nucleotide long non-coding RNA. RefSeq lists it as uncharacterized. The transcript has 3 exons. The record is from RefSeq and is a predicted model, not a curated record. Lineage: Eukaryota; Metazoa; Chordata; Actinopteri; Pleuronectiformes; Pleuronectidae.
ACACACACACGCACACACACACAAACAAAGAGGCGUUAGGCUGAGACGCUGAAAGUCCGGAUUUAAAGUGCAGAAAAGGAAGCCAUUGAAUCUGCCUGUCCAUGACGUACAAAGACACACUAUGAGCCAGUAUGAUCCGACCAGACCUUACAUCAGCAUUGAGGAGUUGUCGGAGAAGAAAGAGGCUGAUUGAAGCGGGACAGAUGACAUGGAUCCAUCCUUCCACAGCCAGGAGCGCACCGACCUGUGUCCCACACUUCAUAUAAGACUGGAAGCUACACUGAUCUCACAGCUACACACCACAGACGUCUACACACUGGAGAAGAGUCCCACAAAGAAGUCAUGACCCAGAGGCUGCAGAGAAACAUUUCAAGCCUCAUCUGAGUUUUUGUACAAUAUUUUUGCUGUAUGUAAAUAAAGCUUUCACUCCACAUA